Suncus etruscus (white-toothed pygmy shrew) is the source of this 106-nucleotide small nuclear RNA. The record is from RefSeq and is a predicted model, not a curated record. NCBI's taxonomy places the organism in Eukaryota, Metazoa, Chordata, Mammalia, Eulipotyphla, Soricidae.
GUGCUCCCUUCGGCAGCACAUAUCCUAAAAUUGGAACGAUACAGAAAAGAUUAGCAUGGGCCUGUGCAAGGAUGACAUGCAAAGCUACUAGAUACUAUUAGUUAAG